This 472-nucleotide ribosomal RNA is filed under the name uncultured Bacillota bacterium. RNAcentral describes it as "bacterial SSU rRNA". It matches the Rfam family "Bacterial small subunit ribosomal RNA", at positions 355 to 842 of the family's 1533-position model. Lineage: Bacteria; Bacillati; Bacillota. The record is from RNAcentral.
UGGGGAAUAUUGCGCAAUGGGGGAAACCCUGACGCAGCAACGCCGCGUGAAGGAUGAAGGUCUUCGGAUUGUAAACUUCUUUGAUGAGGGACGAAAAAAUGACGGUACCUCAAAAAUAAGCCACGGCUAACUACGUGCCAGCAGCCGCGGUAAUACGUAGGUGGCGAGCGUUGUCCGGAAUUACUGGGUGUAAAGGGCGUGUAGGCGGGACUGCAAGUCAGAUGUGAAAUUCUUGGGCUUAACCCAAGGGCUGCAUCUGAAACUGUAGUUCUUGAGUGCUGGAGAGGAUAGUGGGAUUCCUAGUGUAGCGGUGAAAUGCGUAGAUAUUAGGAGGAACACCAGUGGCGAAGGCGGCUAUCUGGACAGUAACUGACGCUGAGGCGCGAAAGCGUGGGGAGCAAACAGGAUUAGAUACCCUGGUAGUCCACGCUAGUAACGAUGGAUACUAGGUGUAGGAGGUAUCGACCCUUCU